RNAcentral lists this ribosomal RNA (497 nucleotides) under uncultured bacterium. RNAcentral's name for it is "partial 16S ribosomal RNA". It matches the Rfam family "Bacterial small subunit ribosomal RNA", at positions 28 to 507 of the family's 1533-position model. The record is from RNAcentral.
GAUGAACGCUGGCGGCGUGCCUAAUACAUGCAAGUCGAGCGAACAGACGAGGAGCUUGCUCCUCUGACGUUAGCGGCGGACGGGUGAGUAACACGUGGAUAACCUACCUAUAAGACUGGGAUAAAUUCGGGAAACCGGAGCUAAUACCGGAUAAUAUAUUGAACCGCAUGGUUCAAUAGUGAAAGACGGUUUUGCUGUCACUUAUAGAUGGAUCCGCGCCGCAUUAGCUAGUUGGUAAGGUAACGGCUUACCAAGGCAACGAUGCGUAGCCGACCUGAGAGGGUGAUGGGCCACACUGGAACUGAGACACGGUCCAGACUCCUACGGGAGGCAGCAGUAGGGAAUCUUCCGCAAUGGGCGAAAGCCUGACGGAGCAACGCCGCGUGAGUGAUGAAGGUCUUCGGAUCGUAAAACUCUGUUAUUAGGGAAGAACAAAUGUGUAAGUAACUAUGCACGUCUUGACGGUACCUAAUCAGAAAGCCACGGCUAACUACGUG